RNAcentral lists this long non-coding RNA (1152 nucleotides) under Macaca fascicularis (crab-eating macaque). Its description in RNAcentral is "lncRNA (ENSMFAG00000060653.1)". The record is from RNAcentral. Lineage: Eukaryota; Metazoa; Chordata; Mammalia; Primates; Cercopithecidae.
GUGUUCAUCUCUCUGGAAAUGCCCACGCCAGCCCAGACACAGCCUCAGAGUCCUUUCCAACACAACCCUCCAGGCAGCAGUUACCAACCAUCAGCCUUCAGCUGAAGCUUCAAGUCUUUGCCAUCCUUGUAAUGAGAGCCUUAGGUCUUGCCCCAAGCAUUCUGGAUUCUCCAACACUCAGAAUUGUAAUAUUGUGCUUUAAUUCAAAUUUUUAAAAAUAUAUAGUCUACUAAUUCAGGACAAGGGGUAAGCAAACUUUUUCUGAAAAGGGCUAGAUAAUAAGUAUUUUAGGUUUUGCCAGUCAUAUGGUCUCUGUUGAAGCUACUCAACUCUGCCACUGUAGUUUGAAAGCAGCUAUGGGUAAUACGUUAUUGAACGGGAGUGACUGAGUUCCAAUAAAGUUUUAUUAUUUAUUUAUUUAUUUUGAGACGGGGUCUUGCUCUGUUGCCCAUGCUGGAGUGCAAUGGCACAAUCUCAGCUCACUGCAACCUCUGCCUACUGAGUUCAAGCAAUUCUCCUGCCUCAGCCUCCCAAGUAGCUGCGAGUACAGGUGCACACCACCAUGCCCUGCUAAUUUUUUGUAUUUUUAGUAGAGAUGGAAUUUCACCAUGUUGGCCAGGCUGGUCUCGAACUCCUGACUUCGUGAUCCGCCCACCUUGGCCUCCCAAAGUACUGGGAUUACAGGCAUGAGCCACUGUUCCCAGCCAAUAAAACUUUAUUUACAAGAACAGCUGGUGGGCCAGAUUUGGCCCAAGGGUCAUAGCUUAUUAUCCCUUGAGCCAGUCUGCUGCCUGAGGUUGAUUCAACAUUCCCAGCUCCAGUCAACAACAAAAAUUCUAAGUCUCCCGCCCACUGCUGCUGUGGUGUGUCAUGCCAAGAAAAUGGGCUACUCAGGUCAGACCAAUGACUACAGAACCACAGGGCUCAGAACAGGAAAGAGCUGCUUUCUGCAGAGCUGAUUCCUGGAAAGCCACCAGCACUCCACCUCCUGCCCAGAAAUGUGAUUCAGUCAAUAGCUGAUGAUGAAAAGCAACCUGCAAACAACAUUAGGGAGAAGGAGAAAAAUAAUUCAGAGGUGAUGAUACUGCCUCCCAUGAACAGGGAAGCAAGUUCAUCAGUAGCAAAAGUCAGUGAGGCAAAAAAAAAAAAAAA